AAGACUACAAAUGCGUUUGCAUUGUCUGACUUAGCUUCUAGAAUUCUUGCCCUCUGCCAUGAGAAUCAUGUGUUUCAAAUAGUAACUGCUUCUUUUAUCUUGGGUUGCAGAUUGUGAAGACAGAAGAAGUCAACCUGAAAACAAACCACAGUUUGGAAUCAAGCCAAGUGUUCACAUUGGGUUUAUGAUAAGGAAAAAGAAAGAAGCCUAAUCAAAUUGUCCCACUUGCAGUGCUGAACGAGUGUCCGUGUCCGCCUUUCAUGGUGGCAAGGUAAGAACA
Molecule: long non-coding RNA, 280 nt
Filed under: Macaca fascicularis (crab-eating macaque)
Lineage: Eukaryota; Metazoa; Chordata; Mammalia; Primates; Cercopithecidae
Description: lncRNA (ENSMFAG00000058607.1)
Source: RNAcentral